This 722-nucleotide long non-coding RNA is filed under the name Phaseolus vulgaris (common bean). RNAcentral describes it as "long non-coding RNA (PVUL_LNC004229)". The record is from RNAcentral. Lineage: Eukaryota; Viridiplantae; Streptophyta; Magnoliopsida; Fabales; Fabaceae.
UGGUGCUUGUGGUGGUAACUGUGGUGGUGGUGCUGUUGUUGUGGUGGGUGGUCUUCACUGCUCGUAUUCUCCGUUCGUAGGUAAGUCUUUGUGCUUUAAACACUUAUUUCUCCGGAUUGGGUUAAUCCGCUAGAUCACCGGAUUGUAUAAUCGGUGCAAUGAACUUCAUGUUAUCCACCCCUAUAAUCCGGAAUGUUUUUACAAUCCGUAAGACAACAUUAAAGUGUUUUGGAUUAGUUAAACCGGGGGUAAACCGGAUCCGGAACAAACAUACUCACUUUUCCGAAUUGUGUAAUCUGGUACAUUAAAAUGAACUAUGGAUUACGUAAUUCGGAAGUCAUUUUAGAACUUUAAAUAUGACUUAUGGAUUAUGUAAUCCGGAAUGCAAUUUGCUGUUUUAAUUUGACUUAUGGAUUAAACAAUCCGGAAGUCACUUUGAAGUUGUGAAAUGCAUUACGGAUUAUCUAAUCUGGAAGGUACUAUUUUACUUAUGGAUUACACUAUCCGGAAGGGUAAUUGAAUGUUGUUUUUAUUUUGCAUACUUGUGUGAAUUUAUGAAAAUUAGAAUAAAAUAGAAAUUUAUGUUUUAUGAAUGAAGGUGUAAGUAUGGACAUGGAGGUUGGAUUGAUUACAAAAAGAUCGGAUGAAGUAGAAAUGAUAUAUAUGGAAGAAUUAAUGAAUUUUGUGCAUCAACAUGAAUUAGUUGAAGAGGAUUAUGGUAC